This 301-nucleotide unclassified non-coding RNA is filed under the name Gigaspora rosea. RNAcentral describes it as "partial contains 5.8S ribosomal RNA, internal transcribed spacer 2, and large subunit ribosomal RNA". The stretch from base 1 to 71 matches the Rfam family "5.8S ribosomal RNA", at positions 84 to 154 of the family's 154-position model. Lineage: Eukaryota; Fungi; Glomeromycota; Glomeromycetes; Diversisporales; Gigasporaceae. The record is from RNAcentral.
GUGAAUCAUCAAAUUUUUGAACGCAAAUUGCACUUCUUGGUAUUCCGAGGAGUACACAUGCUUGAGGGUCAGUUAAAAAAAAUCGUGCAUCUUUGAUGUUGCGGAUCUGGGUAUUUUGAUUUUAUAAAUCAAAUUACCUAAAAUUAAUAUAUAUAUGUAAUGUGAAGCGUACUAAUUAAAUAGUUGCUAAUCAUUUAUAUUUUAUUACAUUACAACCAAGUAGGUGGUGAUGUAUAAAUUACGAGAAUGACCUCAAGUCAUGUGAGAGUACCCGCUGAACUUAAGCAUAUCAAUAAGCGGA